AAUCAACGCUGGCGGCGUGCCUAACACAUGCAAGUCGAACGCGAAAGGGGCUUCGGCCCUGAGUAGAGUGGCAAACGGGUGAGUAACACGUGGGUGACCUACCUUCAAGUGGGGGAUAACGUUCCGAAAGGAACGCUAAUACCGCAUAUUGUCCCGUCUUUAGACAGACGACGAUGAAAGCCGGGGAUCGCAAGACCUGG
Molecule: ribosomal RNA, 200 nt
Filed under: uncultured bacterium
Lineage: Bacteria
Description: partial 16S ribosomal RNA
Rfam family: Bacterial small subunit ribosomal RNA
Source: RNAcentral